RNAcentral lists this ribosomal RNA (361 nucleotides) under Saccharomyces cerevisiae YJM1304. Its description in RNAcentral is "ITS1-25". Lineage: Eukaryota; Fungi; Ascomycota; Saccharomycetes; Saccharomycetales; Saccharomycetaceae. The record is from RNAcentral.
AAGAAAUUUAAUAAUUUUGAAAAUGGAUUUUUUUGUUUUGGCAAGAGCAUGAGAGCUUUUACUGGGCAAGAAGACAAGAGAUGGAGAGUCCAGCCGGGCCUGCGCUUAAGUGCGCGGUCUUGCUAGGCUUGUAAGUUUCUUUCUUGCUAUUCCAAACGGUGAGAGAUUUCUGUGCUUUUGUUAUAGGACAAUUAAAACCGUUUCAAUACAACACACUGUGGAGUUUUCAUAUCUUUGCAACUUUUUCUUUGGGCAUUCGAGCAAUCGGGGCCCAGAGGUAACAAACACAAACAAUUUUAUUUAUUCGUUAAAUUUUUGUCAAAAACAAGAAUUUUCGUAACUGGAAAUUUUAGAAUAUUAA